UACAGAGGGGGCAAGCGUUAUUCGGAAUUAUUGGGCGUAAAGGGCGCGUAGGCGGCUUUGCAAGUGGCGGGUGAAAUCCCUCGGCUUAACCGAGGAACUGCCUGUCAAACUGCAUGGCUUGAGACCAGGAGAGGUGAGUGGAAUUCCCAGUGUAGCGGUGAAAUGCGUAGAUAUUGGGAGGAACACCAGUGGCGAAGGCGGCUCACUGGACUGGUACUGACGCUGAUGCGCGAGAGCGUGGGGAGCAAACAGG
RNAcentral lists this ribosomal RNA (253 nucleotides) under uncultured bacterium. RNAcentral's name for it is "partial 16S ribosomal RNA". It matches the Rfam family "Bacterial small subunit ribosomal RNA", at positions 524 to 776 of the family's 1533-position model. The record is from RNAcentral.